Molecule: ribosomal RNA, 465 nt
Filed under: uncultured bacterium
Lineage: Bacteria
Description: partial 16S ribosomal RNA
Rfam family: Bacterial small subunit ribosomal RNA
Source: RNAcentral
GACGAACGCUGGCGGCGUGCUUAACACAUGCAAGUCGAACGGAAAGGCCCCUUUGUGGGUACUCGCGUGGCGAACGGGUGAGUAACACGUGAGUAACCUGCCGUUGGCUUCCGGAUAACUUCAGGAGACUGGGGCUAAUACCGGAUAGGUAUCCUUGCUUCAUGUUGGUUGUUGGAAAGCUUCUGCGGUUUUGGAUGGACUCGCGGCUUAUCAGCUUGUUCGUGGGUGAGUUACUUACGAAGGCUUUGACGGGUAGCCGGCCCGGGAGGGGGACCGGCCACAUUGGGACUGAGAGACGGCCCAGACUCCUACGGGAGGCAGCAGUGGGGAAUAUUGCCCAAUGGGCGGAAGCCUGAUGCAGCAACGCCGCGUGCGGGAUGACGGCCUUCGGGUUGUGAACCGCUGUCAGCAGGGGCGAAGCUUGUGGUGACGGUACCUGCAGAAGAAGCACCGGCUAACUACGUG